CCAAUAGCGUAUAUUAAAGUUGUUGCAGUUAAAAAGCUCGUAGUUGAAUUUCGGGGUUAGUAGGUUGGUCAUGCCUCUGGUAUGUACUGGUCUCACUGAUUCCUCCUUCCUGAUGAGCCGUAAUGCCAUUAAUUUGGUGUUGCGGGGAAUUUGGACUGUUACUUUGAAAAAAUUAGAGUGUUUAAAGCAGGCUAACGCUUGAAUACAUUAGCAUGGAAUAAUGAAAUAGGACGUUCGAUCCUAUUUUGUUGGUUUCUAGGAUUGACGUAAUGAUUAAUAGGGAUAGUUGGGGGCAUUAGUAUUCAAUUGUCAGAGGUGAAAUUCUUGGAUUUAUUGAAGACUAACUACUGCGAAAGCAUUUGCCAAGGAUGUUUUCAUUAAUCAAGAACGAAAGUUAGGGGAUCGAAGACGAUCAGAUACCGUCGUAGUCUUAACCAUAAACUAUGCCGACUAGGGAUCGGAUGAUGUUAAUUUUUUAAUGACUCAUUCGGCGCCUUACG
This 500-nucleotide ribosomal RNA is filed under the name uncultured Glomeromycotina. RNAcentral describes it as "partial small subunit ribosomal RNA". It matches the Rfam family "Eukaryotic small subunit ribosomal RNA", at positions 591 to 1092 of the family's 1831-position model. The record is from RNAcentral. Lineage: Eukaryota; Fungi; Glomeromycota.